AUAAUAUAUAUAUAUAUAGAUAUAUAUAUAUAUAUAUAUAUAUAUAUAUUCCAAGUUAUAGCUUGAUUAACACACUUAUAUCAGAUUUCCAGAGUUGGAAAAUAAACUGGCUUGAUCGGGCUCAAAAUUUAUCAGGCUUGUUCUAGGAGUUGGAUGGGGGGCCUCAGCAACAAAGAAGAUUAAAGCAAUAAACCGACCUUGAGCAUCUAAAGAAGCAUGUUCUCUUCAGUAUUCGGCAGGGUAGACUGUCCUCACCCUAAAAGAGAAGGAUGGAGGGGAAGUUUUUUCUGUCCUACCAUUUAAUCCUUCCCCAUCUGUCCAUUCCUCUUUAGUUUUCCUGAAUAUUUUUCUUUGUUCUCCCAGCCAUUUCCAUCCACGGCUGAAUUGGGCGACUGACUGGUUUUCCUGACUGUUUUUCCACGUUCUACAGGUUAAUUCCAUCCUAAAACGAUUUGCGCUAUUAAACUCCUUAAACUGAUCUUCAUAAUACGUUAUGUAUGUUCUACCGGGUAUUUCACUCAAUCCAGAAACAAAUCCGAUUCGAUCAAGCUCUGAAAACUUCGUUUAGAGAGCAAGAUUUUAGGGUAAGAGAACCAAAAAUAUGCGCACAUAUUAAUCAACUAAACUUCCGGCAGGCAACCGAAAUCCAACAAUUGGUAAGAUCAGUAGAAAUCCAGGAUUAUCAAUCGGAAUCAGCAUCAUCAAGGUGACCGAGGAGACUGGCAUGGCGACGCUGUAAAACGUCUAUUCUGAAACAUACGAUCCAAUAUGGCGUUCGCGUUGGAUUUGCAUUCUCCGCACUGAGACCAGAGCCUGUGGCGGCGGAAUCAAAGGCCGCUAUGCUAUGCGUGCCACGGGCAGCGAUUACCAGGUACCACAGGGUCCACAGAUAAUCCCGGCCAAGGAAUCAGAGCCAUGCUUACCUCCUUCCUCCGUAUCUUCCGCUAAUCCCCCUCUCCUAUUCCGCUGUCUGAAGACCGUGGAGAGGGCGGGCGCUCGAUGAUGCCGUCGGAGCCUGGCCACCGGCGGCGCCGCCGUCUCUCUGGGCGUGCCCUCAGAGGCGGCGCAUUCCCGUCUCCGGUGAGAAUAGACGGCGGCGGAAGGGAUUGAAUUUCUUCGGAGAACCAUCGACAAGACCG
RNAcentral lists this long non-coding RNA (1139 nucleotides) under Spirodela polyrhiza (greater duckweed). RNAcentral's name for it is "long non-coding RNA (SPOL_LNC000835)". Lineage: Eukaryota; Viridiplantae; Streptophyta; Magnoliopsida; Alismatales; Araceae. The record is from RNAcentral.